RNAcentral lists this long non-coding RNA (585 nucleotides) under Theobroma cacao (cacao). RNAcentral describes it as "long non-coding RNA (TCAC_LNC004933)". Lineage: Eukaryota; Viridiplantae; Streptophyta; Magnoliopsida; Malvales; Malvaceae. The record is from RNAcentral.
GAAAUCCUUAUUGGAAUUGAUUUCUUUCUGCACCCAACUUGGCCUAACUUCAAAGCUUAUAAAAAUAACCUUUCGAAAGAAAAAAAAAAGAGCGAAAGAAAACAGCAAAUUGAAAGCUAAGAGUCGAACUGCAAAGUCAUUGAAGUUGAGAAGAUUUUGAAGGAUUCAAGAAGACUUGGAAGAUCAAGAUUAUAAUUCUUGAGUUUAUUCUUUUUUAUUAUUCUUUUAUUUUCUUAGUUUGUUUUUGUUAUUUAAACUUUAUUCAAUGAUAAUGUGUGACUUGAUGGGGAACUAAAUUGUUAAUCUAAUAUUAUGAUUGAACUCAUUAUGUAGUCUGAAUUAUUUAUCUCUCUUUUGAUUAUGUUUGAUAGAUUUAGGUUGUUUAUUUUAUUCUGUUCUUAAUGCUUCUAAUUACCUGAUCACCAAUUAGAUUGAAUUGGAAACCUAGGUUAAACCUUGACGAAAGAGAUUUAGGUAGACUUUGAAUAGAAUAGCGUAUGAUCGAAUGCACUUAGUUGAUUAGGAGGUUUGAUUUGCAUAUAGGGUAGACAUACACUUAUAAGCCACACAUAGCCAGGAUUAGAG